UAAGCUCGGUUCAGAGUCAUGCGCGACAAAAUAAAAGGGACACUCGCUGUCCAGAAUGGGAGAAAAGAAACAAAAACAUCUAUCUGAACCUGACUACUCUACACUAUCCUACCUCUUCGCUCACAUGAAGAUCCCCUCUUUGUGUCUAUGCUCUUUGCACAUGGUUGCAUGUAUGUAUGUGUGUGUCUGUGUGUGUGUGAACAGUGCAGGUGUGUGUCUGAGCAAACAAACCCAGAAAAUAUUGUCCACCCGCUGGACGAGCAGAGCAGGUGGCUCCGUCCCGGCAGUGACCGGCCGGUAAAAAGCAAGUCCUUGGUACACCAACAAUUGGGAAAGCUCUUUAUUGGUCAUCAUUGUUUAAAAUGCAACAUCGUAUUAAGGGUUACAUGCUUUUACAUGUCACACACAACAAAGUGUAUCGAAUUAUACGUCUAUAGUUUUAAGUAUAGAUUUGUUGAGGAAUCAAAUAUGCAUAGACAAAAGCCAAAAGAAAAUAAAAGAAAAUAGACAACAAAUCAUAAUAAUAAUAAUAAUAAUAAUAAUAAUAAUAAUAAUUGUAUUUACGUGAAAAGGGAAAAAAAGCUU
Molecule: long non-coding RNA, 585 nt
Organism: Thalassophryne amazonica
Lineage: Eukaryota; Metazoa; Chordata; Actinopteri; Batrachoidiformes; Batrachoididae
Exons: 3
Source: RefSeq, a predicted model, not a curated record